AUUGAACGCUGGCGGCAGGCCUAACACAUGCAAGUCGAGCGGGGUGAUGGUGCUUGCACUAUCACUUAGCGGCGGACGGGUGAGUAAUGCUUAGGAAUCUGCCUAUUAGUGGGGGACAACAUCUCGAAAGGGAUGCUAAUACCGCAUACGUCCUACGGGAGAAAGCAGGGGAUCACUUGCGACCUUGCGCUAAUAGAUGAGCCUAAGUCGGAUUAGCUAGUUGGUGGGGUAAAGGCCUACCAAGGCGACGAUCUGUAGCGGGUCUGAGAGGAUGAUCCGCCACACUGGGACUGAGACACGGCCCAGACUCCUACGGGAGGCAGCAGUGGGGAAUAUUGGACAAUGGGGGGAACCCUGAUCCAGCCAUGCCGCGUGUGUGAAGAAGGCCUUAUGGUUGUAAAGCACUUUAAGCGAGGAGGAGGCUCUUUUGGUUAAUACCCAAGAUGAGUGGACGUUACUCGCAGAAUAAGCACCGGCUAACUCUGUGCCAGCCGCCGCCUAA
Molecule: ribosomal RNA, 502 nt
Filed under: uncultured bacterium
Lineage: Bacteria
Description: partial 16S ribosomal RNA
Rfam family: Bacterial small subunit ribosomal RNA
Source: RNAcentral